This is a long non-coding RNA of Passer domesticus (house sparrow), 2806 nucleotides long. RefSeq lists it as uncharacterized. The record is from RefSeq and is a predicted model, not a curated record. Lineage: Eukaryota; Metazoa; Chordata; Aves; Passeriformes; Passeridae. The transcript has 3 exons.
GGCAGUAUGUCGGCUCUGGAAAAGUACCCUGGAAAAGUAAUCAUGCUCCUGAGGUGGCAGGGAAGUCAGUGUGCCUCUGCCACUUUGCUCCAUGCCCACCUGAAAGGAUAACAUGCUUAAAAAUGCUCUGCUGGACUGCUCGCUGCCAGGACGCUUGGAGCAGGGCUGCCACUUGGUACAUGAGUUAUUCCCUUCCAAGGUCACUUCAGGAAUUCAGUAGUUUGUGCUGCCUGUCACAGGUUUAGGUUGUGCUAAGGCAGUGAUACCAGUGUUGAGCAGACCAAUACAGAGCACGCAUUGUUUACUGCAGUUUUCACACUCUUAUCUGAGAGGAAAAGGCCAGCACAUGAUCUCACCUGGAUUUGUUUUCCAGCCUCGUGCUGUUUGUAAAGGACACUGUAUACUUGGUCAGAAAUAAUGGCUUCCUGUUUCAUUAAUGAGUUCUUAGAGCAAUUUCCCUUCAGAGUAAUCACCUUGGGUGAAGGAGGUGUGCACUUCCAAAAGCAAUUGGCCCUCUCAGUGGGUCAUACUGGGGGCACCAUUCUCCUCCAAGAGAAAAAGCACUCUGGUUUGGGUGUCUCAGUUUGGAUGGUAAAGAAAGCAGUGCUGCCAGAAUCAUCAGUCACGUGAAGCUGUCAGUCAAAAUGUCUCCUGGGAUUAAAAAAACCCUCCUUGGGAAAGGUAUGUUUCCAGCAUGUAGUACCAUACCACCUAGGGGGGGAAAAAAUAAAAAUGUUGCUUUGAUUGCUCUCCAAAUAUGUGGUUGUAUUACUCAGAAGCUGCCUCUUCAGGGCUGCACUUUUUAAAUUUGUUGCUGCAAAAAUCCUCAGGAACUUUGAUCCAAGCAUCCCAGGACUUCUGAUAUCCCAGGAUUUUUAGGAGCUCUGAUUUGGAACUGACCUUCCUGUUUCACUACAAACUAUUUACUCCUGUCACUCACCCAAUCACUCAUAUUAGAGAAAAUAGUAACACACAUGCACUUAUUUGUACAGCCUUUGGAACUGCUACUACAGGAUUGUCAUGCUCCAAUUAGAGCUGGCCAGGAAGUGCACUUGGAGCAAUGUCAGAGAGAGCAAACCAGUUGUGGGUGUUUGGGUCAAGUGUGGCAGAUUCCAGGGCUAGUGCUGGAUUGCAGGGGCUGAGGUGGAGGCAGGCCAGCAGCAUCAUCCUCCAGCUCUGAAUUUUAUCACCAUAGGUAAGCUCUAAUUUGAGGAAGAAAAACGCAGUUUAAUUUUCCCCACCUUAGUUAUAAAUCUAACUUAACCUAAUUCAUAUUUUAAUGAGUUGGAUCCUCAGCUGUACUCCAUUACUCUUCUGUCUGGUUUGAUUCAUUGCCUUGUUUUCUAGAUUUGGCACUUGCUUGGUUUAACACAAACUGGGAAGGCUGAGCAAAGCGCAGGUGCUCACUGGCUGGUCCUGCUUUCAGCCCAUAGCCUGGGGGACUCAUCUUGACUUUGUUCUCCUGUACAAAUGUAUGGUUGGGUUUAUGGCUGUGCUCUGAUUUAGCUGACUCUGGAAGUGCCUUUGGCUGCAGGUGGUGAAACAAGGGGCCUCUAUGACACAUCAUCUGGAUGGACAUGGUCUUAUUGUAGACUUGCAACUCUGCAAGCUGAAUAUUGAAAUGGUCAGUGGAAACCUGCACUCAGCUCCAAGUGAGCAGAGAAACCUGAGAGUGCAUGACACAAUUUGGGAAAAGUUACAGAAAUAAUGCAUAGACAGAGGAAUUCCCAUCUGUUCAGCCUGUCUUCUUCCAGACAUUUCUUCAUCUGUGCAUUGCUGUGUGCAUCUCCUGAGAAGGUGAAUCCCAAGCUCACAGGUUGCUUUGGAAUUUUUGGCAGUGGUGACUCUGAGCGUGGGCUUGGGAAGCUCCCAAGGAGAAGGACCAUCUUGCAGGUAAUUUUACAUCCUGAGGUGUCUCAUUAGCAGACUCAUCUUCUCAGUCUCAGGAAGAAGCGAGAUCAAAGGCAGGAGAGGAGUGAGAUAACAAAAUCAGUUCUAAUAAAAGUAAUGGAUGUCUCAAUUUUUACUUCCCUUAAACAGGAGUAUUUAUUGCUCCUCUUUGAAUUUUGCAAAGCCUUUUGAGAGUUGCACUCAUUUUUGAGCUCAGACAUCACUGCACAUUUUGCCUUAUGCAGCUGUCUUUUAUCAUUAGGGAAGAAGUAAUAAUUCAGACCUCAAAUUUAGCUUUUGUCUAAAAGAAAUGAGGUUGAUAUAUGCACUGCCUACACAACAGGAUACCAUAUAAUCCCCUCAUCUGUUAGAAGGGCACAAGUUAUGUAUGCUAAUCCUCAACCUAGAUGUAUGUGUUUGUAGCUGUUACUUUCUGAUAGUUGUUUUAUUAUGCAUCUUUUACUGCAGUGGGAAGUGGGUGACACAGGGGAGACGUGAACUUGUUUGCUGUAUGUGUAAGUUUGCUGUGGGCAAGUGCUUUAGGUUUAAAGCAGUGACUGCAGGUCAAGGGUAGCCACACUACUCAGAGAGACUGGUCUUUUUUCAUUGUCUUGGUGGAAUACAUUGCAAAGUCGAUACACAUCAAAGUGGCAAAACUAGAUUAAAUUCUAGAAGUUCUUUAGGAGUGUAAGAAAUUAGUAGGAAAAACAAUUUUAUCUAAAAGAGGUUUGAUUUUUGCUUUCCCUGUGUCAUGCUGACCAAGGUGUGACAAGCCUCAGUGAAUGGUAUCUAUGAAUCCAGAUUUCAGAACCAUGAGAUGAGCUUAAAAACAGUGACAUGUAAAAAUUAAAUGGGAAGUUUGCUUAAUGUGACUUCUGGCCCCUGAAUUUUUACUCAAGGCCCCUUUUUAAUUCUU